This is a long non-coding RNA of Amphiprion ocellaris (clown anemonefish), 476 nucleotides long. The record is from Ensembl. NCBI's taxonomy places the organism in Eukaryota, Metazoa, Chordata, Actinopteri, Pomacentridae.
GUGGAAUUUUCUUCCAAACCGUCUUUUAGUCUACAUUUAAGGAUGUUUAGGAUGGUAUAUUCUUCCGAACCAACUUCUCAGGUCUACAUUUCAGGUGGAAUAUUCCUCCAUACUAACUUUUUUGGUCUACAUUGAAGGAUUUUUUCUAAACCACCCUUUCGGGUCUAUAUUUGAGGUUUUAGGUGGAAUAUUCCUUUUAACCAGCCCCUCAGGUCUCUUUGAGGAUUUUGGAUGGAAUACUCGGUUAAACCAACAUUUUAGGUGCAUGUCCAAAGAUUUUUGGUGGAAUGUUCCUUUAAGGUGGAUGUUUGAGGACCUUGUAGGUGGAAUACUUCCUGAAACCAACCUUUUAGGUAAACAUUCAAAGAUUUAAGGCGGAAUAUUCCUUUAAACCAACCUAAAUUUCAUGUUUUGAUCAUUAUCAAGUGAGAAACCUCAAUCCAGACUCCUCGUAAUGACGUUUGAGAUUUAUGCUG